This 72-nucleotide transfer RNA is filed under the name Salmo salar (Atlantic salmon). It matches the Rfam family "tRNA". Rfam says of the family: Transfer RNA (tRNA) molecules are approximately 80 nucleotides in length. Their secondary structure includes four short double-helical elements and three loops (D, anti-codon, and T loops). Further hydrogen bonds mediate the characteristic L-shaped molecular structure. tRNAs have two regions of fundamental functional importance: the anti-codon, which is responsible for specific mRNA codon recognition, and the 3' end, to which the tRNAs corresponding amino acid is attached (by aminoacyl-tRNA synthetases). tRNAs cope with the degeneracy of the genetic code in two manners: having more than one tRNA (with a specific anti-codon) for a particular amino acid; and 'wobble' base-pairing, i.e. permitting non-standard base-pairing at the 3rd anti-codon position. The record is from Rfam by way of RNAcentral. Lineage: Eukaryota; Metazoa; Chordata; Actinopteri; Salmoniformes; Salmonidae.
UCCCAUGUGGCUCAGUUGGUAGAGCAUGGUGUUUGCAACGCCAGGAUUGUGGGUUUGAUUCUCACGGGGGAC